RNAcentral lists this ribosomal RNA (422 nucleotides) under uncultured Rikenellaceae bacterium. RNAcentral's name for it is "bacterial SSU rRNA". It matches the Rfam family "Bacterial small subunit ribosomal RNA", at positions 355 to 774 of the family's 1533-position model. The record is from RNAcentral. Lineage: Bacteria; Pseudomonadati; Bacteroidota; Bacteroidia; Bacteroidales; Rikenellaceae.
UGAGGAAUAUUGGUCAAUGGACGCAAGUCUGAACCAGCCAUGCCGCGUGCAGGAUGACGGCUCUAUGAGUUGUAAACUGCUUUUGUACGAGGGUAAUAUCAGAUACGUGUAUCUGCUUGAAAGUAUCGUACGAAUAAGGAUCGGCUAACUCCGUGCCAGCAGCCGCGGUAAUACGGAGGAUCCAAGCGUUAUCCGGAUUUAUUGGGUUUAAAGGGUGCGUAGGCGGUUUUAUAAGUUAGAGGUGAAAAUUCGGGGCUCAACUCCGGACGUGCCUCUAAUACUGUAUGACUAGAGAAUAGAUGCGGUAGGCGGAAUGUAUGGUGUAGCGGUGAAAUGCGUAGAGAUCAUACAGAACACCGAUUGCGAAGGCAGCUUACCAAACUAUAUCUGACGUUGAGGCACGAAAGCGUGGGGAGCAAACA